GCCCUGUUAGCUCAGUCGGUUAGAGCGUCUGACUGUUAAUCAGAAUGUCAUUGGUUCAAGUCCAAUACGGGGCGCAA
This 77-nucleotide transfer RNA is filed under the name Flavobacteriales bacterium. RNAcentral's name for it is "tRNA-Asn". It matches the Rfam family "tRNA". From Rfam's summary of the family: Transfer RNA (tRNA) molecules are approximately 80 nucleotides in length. Their secondary structure includes four short double-helical elements and three loops (D, anti-codon, and T loops). Further hydrogen bonds mediate the characteristic L-shaped molecular structure. tRNAs have two regions of fundamental functional importance: the anti-codon, which is responsible for specific mRNA codon recognition, and the 3' end, to which the tRNAs corresponding amino acid is attached (by aminoacyl-tRNA synthetases). tRNAs cope with the degeneracy of the genetic code in two manners: having more than one tRNA (with a specific anti-codon) for a particular amino acid; and 'wobble' base-pairing, i.e. permitting non-standard base-pairing at the 3rd anti-codon position. The record is from RNAcentral. Lineage: Bacteria; Pseudomonadati; Bacteroidota; Flavobacteriia; Flavobacteriales.